GGGACAUGGGGCAAUAUGUGAUUUGGAAUUAUAGAUCCAGAAUCUGGAAAAUCUACUGCUUGGUAAGGCUACUUGUUAAUUAAUUUUGUUGUCCUGUGGUUUAGAGGUCAGCUAUGGAUACUCGGCUGCGAGAAUUUUUGAUGGAGCGCAAACUUGAAGAAGAUGUGAUCCAGAAACUUGAAGAUGAGAAUAUGCACAAUGAGGGACGUCUGCAGAGACUGAGAAAGAGUCUCACCACAUCCUGACAUGAGGAAAAAGACUUUAUUGAAGACUACAAUGAGAAAAACUAUCAGACAGCAGACGGCUGCAUUCAAGUCUGUAGCUGCUGAAUUCAUGGAUGAAUCAUCUGGCACUAGAGAGGAAGACCAUCAAACAUCCACGUCAGCUGAUGGAGGUCCAAGAGUCUCACCAAACAAACAACCUACAGAGUGAAGACCUCCAAUCUGAUUGGACGGCCUCCUAUUCAGCCACAUGUGUGAACAAAUGCCUCUAAGUUGAUUUGUUUUCUAAAAUAAAUCUAGUUUGAGUCCUAAUCUAUGCCUGUGUGUUUGCUUCUUUACACUGCUGUUAACAGUUUAGGCUGUUAGAUUGUUCCAGAUAAGACAAGUACAAGAUUCUUCAGAGCCGUUCUACCACGAGCCUGACAGGAAGAACUCCAACAGCUACUGAAUGUUCCUGUGGUUCCCUCAAGGCUACAGGAGGAGUCCUACGAGGACGAGCCGGUCCACCUGAUGGUGGCCAGUCGCUGCGGUUCAAAGCCAACACCGA
Long non-coding RNA from Amphiprion ocellaris (clown anemonefish), 768 nucleotides. The record is from Ensembl. NCBI's taxonomy places the organism in Eukaryota, Metazoa, Chordata, Actinopteri, Pomacentridae.